RNAcentral lists this ribosomal RNA (301 nucleotides) under uncultured bacterium. RNAcentral describes it as "partial 16S ribosomal RNA". It matches the Rfam family "Bacterial small subunit ribosomal RNA", at positions 509 to 807 of the family's 1533-position model. The record is from RNAcentral.
CAGCCGCCGCGGUAAUACGAACCGUGCGAACGUUAUUCGGAAUUACUGGGCUUAAAGCGCGUGUAGGCGGGCCGCCGCGUCGGUUGCUGAAAUCCCCCGGCUCAACCGGGGAAGUGGCAUCGAUACGAGCGGCCUUGAGGGGGGUAGGGGGAUCUGGAACUUCCGGUGGAGCGGUGAAAUGCGUUGAGAUCGGAAGGAACGCCCGUGGCGAAAGCGAGGUCCUGGACCCUUUCUGACGCUGAGACGCGAAAGCCAGGGGAGCGAACGGGAUUAGAUACCCCAGUAGUCCCUGUCUCUUAUA